GCCCCGUGCGGGCAGGUGCUGCGGUUGCCCCUCGGCCUGGACGCCCCCAGGGCAGGGUGCAGGGGCCCCAGACACAUGAGCAGCUACUUGAAGGCAGCCCGGUCCUAGCCAGGCUGGGGUAGAUCAGCUGCUACGUCCUGUGGCACUGCGUGAGGUCCGCCAGGCUGUGCUGACUUGUCCCGCAGCCCUCGCUGUAAGGCAGCCGCCAGGAGCUCUGCUGUUCAGGGUGCCCCGUGUCCCCAGCAUGCACCCCGACAGCCAGGGAACCCGCCUCAGCCUUGCAGGUGGCAUCAAAUGAACCAGGCUCCCUCCUGGCCACCAAAGCAGGGCUGGUAUUGGCCGCCUCUAGUGGGAGGACAGGUGGUUCUUUGUACCUGGAGGUAGAUGGGGCCAAGAGGUGGCAGCUCGUGUUGCAGCCAGGGUGACUCUGUCUGGGGGGCUUCUAUUUCAUCUGGAGAAACACAAGAAAAGCCAAAGCGAGUUCCUCCGAACGGUACCCCUGUUUCUGAGGAGAUUAGCAAUCAGGCAACGUUUCCAAAGCAGCCGCGUGCAGCAGAGAAUACGCAGGCCGACUUGCUGCUGCGUGGCGAGGACACGGGCCCCUCAAUCCGCUUCAUGCAACUUACUGACUCCCAGCCCUGUGCCUGCGCGUGUGGACAAGUUUUAUACAGUUCAGAUGUUCAAAAGACACAACGAUCAGAGGACAAGCUGCUGGAGUGUCUGGGAAUGGUGAUCUAUAAUGCCCUGGACUGGGGCAUUGACAGCCAUAUGGAGCGAGAGCUGAGCAAACCCCUGGAAAACCUGAUUUCCCUCAUGCUGAAACUAGAUGUUGAAGCAACAACACCAGCAAUCAGUCUUCAGGAUGUCAUGAAGGUUUUUUGGAUCUGUGAGGAGCAUGUGUCCUUGCCCUCGGAGGCCUCCAGCCAUUACAGAACAAUCUCUAGGGCUCUCUUUGCUGACUACAUGGAUUUUCAGCAACUCACAUUUACCAUCCAGAACUCCAAAGAGAGUCUGAAAAGAAUGGAUGUGGUAGCUUUGCUGGAAAAUCCUUCCCAGAAGAAGGCAAAUUGCUGGGCUGCCUUGUGGCACGAUGUUGUCCGUGAACUGCAGAAGGGAGUGAAGCUGCGCAAGGCCACAGAACAGCCACAGCAUAACAGUCCUCGAAAAGAGUCUGCCCGCUCCCCCUUUGAGAUGCUGGCAGAUGACAUCCGACACAAAAGGCAUACUCUCCAGAAGGUGAAGAUCAACAGUGAGCAAAAGAUCAGGAGCUCUGAAGAAAACAUAAUCCCUCUAAAGCCACCUUUAAAGCCAGUGGUAGAGAGAAAACUGAAGGACCGUUUCCCGCAGGAACCUAGUCAGCAUGAGCUGCUCAUGAUGGAAAUAAAACAGCCACACCAGCUUCGGCCAUCUCCCACAGCAAGAAAUGGAAGUAGGCCCAAAGAUGCUUCUGUGACACUAAACAUCUUUAAUUCUCCUUGUGACAGUGGUUUAUCUGUUCAAAAUGCCAGUACAGGACUUCAUGCUCACAAAGCUGAAAACUGGCUGCUGGGUUCUGACCUGCUGGGCCAAGAAUUUCAGGAAGGAGGUUGGCCAUUGGAAAAUGCCCAGAGAGUGACCUCAGAAAGGUCAUCGUCACAGAAUUGCAACAGCAGAGGUUUCUCUGCAGACUGCAAGUUUACUCCCACAGGAAUUUCAGUGCCAAGUGACCUCAACACACAUAGCUUUCUGAAUCCAAACCAUCAGCAACCUUCCUGCCAAAGGAGAUCGAUGUCUAUAGGGAGUGCCCUGAAAAGCAAGGAGCAUGAGAGAGAGAAUUCUACAAAGUGGCCAUUGCCAACUAUUACUGAUCUGAUUGGAACCCGAUAUGCCAUGAUGGCAUCUGAAAUGGAGAUUGCUUUCCAAAGAUAUGGUUGCAGUAUAUCUUCAAGAGCCAAGGUCUGUUUCAGUUGCCAUAAGCAGAUGUUCUUUAAAUGGCCUUACAGCUGUCAUCUCUGUAGCAGGGCGGUUGAACAGGCUUUCAGACUUCCAGUGCCCCUCUUCCAGUCACAACAGUCUCGCACCUUCUACCAAAAAACCCUGAUGGUACAAUCCAACAGAAGGAGAAAGUGGAACCAAUUGUCAACACAAGAGCCACCCUACAGAUAGCAUGCUAACAACAUAUGGGAGAAUCGGGACAGUACCAAUUGGAACAAUAUCAUUAACUGACCUAAUGAAUGGUGCUUGAUACUUGAUAGCAUUUCCAUCAGGUCUCUCAACUACACAGUUGGUCCUCUGUAAGAUAUCACAAAAAAUCCUUGUCCUCAAGGUCUCAGCACAGAACAUCACUUGAUCUUGCUUCAAAUGUUUAGGAUCUGCAGCCUGAUGAAUCAUGAAUAUAGGCUUGUGACCUGCAAAGUGUAUAAGUGUUAUCUGCUGUGACUGCUGCAUCAAGAUGUCAAUGCCCUUCAGACAGUGUGUACAUCUCCCACUCGGCUUCCUAAAACCACUA
Molecule: RNA transcript, 2488 nt
Organism: Alligator sinensis (Chinese alligator)
Lineage: Eukaryota; Metazoa; Chordata; Crocodylia; Alligatoridae
Gene name: protein spire homolog 2-like
Exons: 16
Source: RefSeq, a predicted model, not a curated record